UGGGGUGUGGCCAAGUGGUAAGGCAGCGGGUUUUGGUCCCGUUACUUGGAGGUUCGUAUCCUUCCGUCCUAG
Non-coding RNA from Hordeum vulgare subsp. vulgare (domesticated barley), 72 nucleotides. The record is from Rfam. Lineage: Eukaryota; Viridiplantae; Streptophyta; Magnoliopsida; Poales; Poaceae.